This 5037-nucleotide long non-coding RNA is filed under the name Gigantopelta aegis. RNAcentral describes it as "uncharacterized LOC121378896, transcript variant X2". The record is from RNAcentral. Lineage: Eukaryota; Metazoa; Mollusca; Gastropoda; Neomphalida; Peltospiridae.
UUCGAAUUUCAGUUUAUAAAUAAAUAAAUAAAUAAAAAGAAAAAACACAAACUUUUCGACUUUUUAUCCACAUGGGUGUUUUAAUUACACUCUCUUCCUUCCUUCCACGGGUUAUUCGUUUAGGGAGAAGUGAUUAAAUUUUGAGACGGUCCCUAACUCAAAUCUUAAUGAAAUUGCGAGUGUCCAAUGUAAACGUUGAUUGUAAAAGGCAGGAAAAAUUGUAACAUUGAAACACUAGUCGGCUACUGCUAGUCAUUAACAUAAAUGACGUGUUGCGUUCAUUGAGUGUGAUUUGUGGUUGUGAUGUUCAAAAUAUUUUUGUUCAGUUUAUGUGAUCAUAUUCAGUGUUAGCGACAUUGAUUAGAACGUUACUGACUAGUAAACACAUGCUUGCCCAAUCGCAAAAAUAAUAAUAUUACAAGUUGGAGCUGACCCACUUUUAUGACCCAAUGACCUACUUAAAGACUGCUAGAGUUAAGGUAGUCAUGUUUGGUAUCAAACCAAAGCUUAUGAAGUGUAGGUUUGAGCUGACCCACUUUUAUUACCUACAUGCUUAUUAUGUACUUCUUUAUUUUUCAGCUAUGAGGUCUGUGGGGUCAACUUUGGCUAGAAUUGGAGACUAUUUGGUUCCUGGAGCUGAUCCAUUCUCAGAUGCAGAACCAAAGCCAGCACCUGGCCCUCCCCUCGACCUAGCCCUGCUGCUCAUCCAGCGCCAGCUUCCUCUAGAUCUGGAUGUGGUGGAAAGGAAACUCUUACGGCAGAAGUGUUGUGGUUUAUGAAAUGCGUUGAAUCACAUUAUUCUUUUAGUUCAUGUCAGCAGAUGUUUCAAGGGCAUCCUGUAGUUGACACGUUCUCCUGUGGUGAAACAAAAUGCAGGUAUCUCUGCCAAUUUGGACUUGCUCCCCACUUCACUUCUCUUCUAAAGAGUCGCAUAAAUAAAGACAGUGAAUAUGUUUUGCUGUUUGAUGAAAGCAUGAACAACAAGACUAAAAAUAAACAAUUAGGCAUUCAUGUAAGAUUUUGGCACCAUGACCAAGUCCACACUAGAUACCUAACAUCACAAUUCAUUGGUCAUGCUGCUGCAACUGAUUUAUUGGAACACUUCAAUGCAUCAACUUCUGAUCUACGUAGAAAUGGUUUGUUGCAGGUAUCUAUGGAUGGCCCGUCAGUGAAUUGGUCUUUUUAUGACAAAUUGGGGAAAGAAAUAAAGAAUGAGUGUGGUAUGGGACUGUUGAAUAUUGGGAGCUGUGGCCUCCAUGUCAUUCAUGGAGGGUUCCAGACCGGCGCUCGUGAGACUGGUUGGGGUCUUGAUGAUCUUCUCUCCUGUCCAUACAACCUGUUUAAAGAUACCUCAGCCAAGCGAGAUGAUUUUACUGAUAUAACUGGGUGUAAAGAAUUUCCAUUGAGAAUGGUUCUGUGUGCAGCAGAGUUCUUCUACUGUGGCCUCACAUGAAGUUAUUUGUUGAGGCAUGUGAAAGCAAGAAGAAGCCAAAACCCACCACCAACUCUUAUAAAACUCUACGUGAUGCAAUGAAGGAUAAGCUGACUGUGGCAAAACUGUCUUUUUUCAGGUCAUUAGCCAGUGCAUUUGAGCCAUUUUUAGCCUUGUACCAAACGGAUAAGCCAAUGGGUCCCUUUCUUGUUCAUGAUAUUGAGAGACUAGUCCGAAAUCUGUUAGAGAGGUGUCUUAGGUCAGAUGCAUUACAGAAGGCUUCUACUGCAUAUGACUUGUUAAAGCUGGAUCUUGAAAAGGAAAGGGUAGAAAACAAAAAGAUAGAAGUUGGUUUCAAGGCUGAAAGUGAACUGAAGCCCCUCCUGAAAACCAAGGCCAUCAGUGAACGCCAGGUGUUUGAGUUCAGAGAAGACUGUAGACAAUUUGUGGUAAAAUGUGUUAACAAAAUCUUUGAAAGGUCUCCUCUAAAGUAUGGCUUAGCAGUAAAUAUGGCUUGUCUGGAUCCCAGGUAAUCAAGAACACUCAAAGUCAAAAUUGAAACGUCUGUUGGAAAACUUGGUGAAUCUGAACAGGGUUGAUGGUGAAGAUGUAGAUAUGUUGGUUGCAAGUUACAAAGAACUACUGCAUGAUGUGGCAGGGUGUGAACUGAAGUCUAGAUUCAAGGACUUUAAGGUUGAAGAUGACAGGGUAGAUGAGUUACUCUAUGAAUGUAUGGGUAAGAACAUAGUUUCUAGUUGCUAGUUUCCCAUGGUCAGGCAUCUGUUGAGAGGGGUUUUUCUCUCAACAGACAGAUAGAGAAGGACAACUUGGGUGAAGGAAUGCUUGUGGCACUGAGGCAGAUUAUUGAUUAUUUUGUAAUGGUAGGUGGAAUCCUCAAAGUUGAAAUCACAAAGGAACUGCUACUCUCAGCCUCCACUGCCUGACAUAAAUACCAUCAAUAUCUUGAAGAAGAGAAAAGAAAGAAAGGGCAAGAAGCCAUCCGAAGAAAACGAAAAAUGGUUGAAGAUGAAGUGGAUAAUUUGAAAAAGAGAAAGAAUGUGUUAGAAUCUGACAGAGAAAAUCUGACCACACUGUCAGAAAAAUAUGCAGAUGAGGCUGAGGCAACAAGUGGAAAAGUAACUAGCCACAGUAUUCAUGUGAAAUCAAAUGCUCUCAGGCACUCUGCCAAGGAAAAAAAAGGGGAACUCGAGCUUCUAGAAAGAGAAAUUGAGGAGAAGGCUAAAUCCUUGCCUGCUAUGUCCAAAAUGGAUAUUAGCCUAACUGAAGUGAAUUGACUAAGACAUGGAAGAGUCUAGUGCAAACCCUGACUGUUGAACAUUGUGUUAAAUUUCACAUAAAGUGUAACUUAUUGUCUUGUGCUGUUUACGCUAAGUUGUGUGUCAUUGACUCAAAGCACCUGGUAAGUUCUGUGUUACAUUAUUAAAAUGCAUUUGUUACAUGCAAACUAGCUUGUAUUUGUGAUUUCCUAUCUUGUUUAAAGGGACACUAACUCCAUGGUCAGAACAGCAACCAAACACAAUUUCUACACCUCCCAACAGGUAUCCCUCUAAACUGAUUUUGAGUGGAGGGUCUACUAUGAAUUCUGUUUGGCUGUGGUUUAGUCAUGAAGUUAAUGUCCCUUUAAUCUACUUGGCUACACCUUAAAAAUGAAAUUUUUUGAACAAACAAAAACUUGUGUAUGAUCAAACUUUCAAUAAAAGUAUGACAAGAUGGGGAAGUACGGUGAUGGUAAUAUAGGUGUCUUGCCUAAUUUGUUAAAACUUGCUGCCUUUUGAAUAAGUCCAGUUUGUUCAAAAAAAUUAAUUUUGGGGUAUGUAUCACUUGUCCACAGAAGACCACAGACUGAAUAAUAUCAGAUUUUGCCACGUGUGGUUACCUUAGUUUACCUAUGGAAUUUCUAGGAUGUGGUCCUUAAAAAAGGUUAUAUUAGACCUAAAAAGUCCUUAAAAAAGACAUCUCAAAAAGAGUGGGAACCCUGAUUCAGUAGUACAAAAAAAGGUGUUCCUUGUGGGAAGGACUAUAAUGUACUAGUUACUGGUAAUUAUCUUGAAAAAAUAUGCAGUAUGACAUCAUUAAAUUUUUGAACACCAAGAUACUUGCAUAAUACAGCUUUUUAUUUCUAAUAAUAUAUUGAUGAUACCAAAACACAAGAAUAAUAAUUAUAUACAGUGAAACCCCUCAAAACCAGACAUUUUUCAUGGUCCCUUUUUAAAUAUAAGUAAAGGGGAGAAAAACCCUCUAAACUGGAUACCCCUCAAAAGCCAGACAUUUUACUUGGUCCUGUGGUCGUCCAUGGCAGUUUAGAGGGAUUUCACUGUAUAUAUACAUCUAUAAUAAAGUGACCCACUGCAUCCCAAGGGAGCACACUGACGCUAUGCUUAUAUGUACAUACCAAUCUUUAGGUACAGGGUCUGGGGGUGAGACUUAGCCCAGUAGUAAAUUGCUGGUAUCGGCCCACUAUCCCUGAUUUCACUAGCCCUGGUACCACUAGCCCUGAAAAAUGACCAAUUAAUGGCUGCCAUGGAUGUUACAUUUCUUUAUACUACUCCCCUGUACAUAUAAACUAUUAAUAAAUAAACAUGUCUUGUUUUAGAUGAGAUACCCUUUUAAUGCCUCAGUUGAAAACGUGGAGUACUUACUUAAUCCUAUUCGUACAAUUCCUUUAUCUAUAAACAUGUGUUGUUUUAAUAUGCUCGCUGUGUGUUAAUCCUCUUCAUACAAUUCCUUUAUCUAUAAACAUGUGUUGUUUUAAUAUCACUAUUACUGUCAAUACAUAAUUAGUAGGGACCUCUAUAUAUGAAUGUUGCAAAUGUGACUAUACAGAUAAAUGCUCGCCGUGCGUUAUGGCGGAGGUAACCUUUGUAGAGGGUGCCAGAGGCAAUAAAGUAGCAAUUUUGGAUGACUAUGUCUUCCAUAAGAAUGCACAAGUAAAGGCAGGCAUGAAAUGGAGAUGUAGCGAGACUACAAAUUUGAAAUCCAAUGUGUUUAUUGUAGUAUCUGAGGGGUUAGUUGUCAAACAACAGUAGGAACACAAUCACGCUCCCAAUUGAAGCUCAUAGGUUAAAAGCUAACAUGCGCAAGAGGGCUCGUGAAGAGUCAGGUCUUAUUCAGGUUAUUUAUGAGCAGGAGAAGGUGAAGUUGCUACAACCAGAAACCGCUGCAGCUGAAGUUGCAGCUAACCUACCACAGUUCUCAGGAACUCGCCUGCCUGUGCACCACCUCCAGUUGAGAUCCGUGUUGGUCGGAGAAGUCUAAUGUCACUGGGAAUUCCGUCCGCAUCCUUGACGAUGUAUGACUGUCUAUCACAAUGGUGUACCACAGUGUUGAACUCUUCUUGACUAAGUCUCUUGGUAACUGGUGAUACUUCAACAAACAUAUUCUGGAACACUGUCCGCAAUCUGCUGCAAAAACCAACAGCAGCUCAAGUUGCCUGUCAUCACCCAAAACCCAUACUGCUUGAUACUGGCGAGAUUAGUUUCCCAUAUCUAUGGCAACCACAGAUUAUUGAAGUGCAAAUCUUGAGACUUGGUCAGUUGGCCAUCAUUGCUGUUCCAGCAGAGUUCACGUAUGUUUUCAUGUCUUUC